Molecule: non-coding RNA, 72 nt
Organism: Ictidomys tridecemlineatus (thirteen-lined ground squirrel)
Lineage: Eukaryota; Metazoa; Chordata; Mammalia; Rodentia; Sciuridae
Source: Rfam
GGGAAUGUAGCUCAGUGAUAGGGCACUCGCCUAGUAUGUGUGAAGCUCUGGGUUUGAUCCCCAGCACUGCAA